Odocoileus virginianus texanus is the source of this 822-nucleotide non-coding RNA. NCBI's taxonomy places the organism in Eukaryota, Metazoa, Chordata, Mammalia, Artiodactyla, Cervidae. The record is from RefSeq and is a predicted model, not a curated record.
GAGGGCGCCGUGAGUGGGAAGGGUGUGUUUGAAUAGAAGUAAAAGUUGUUUUCUAUAUAACCUUGUGUGUCCGGAGCGUCUCCAGGCUAACUAGGGAAGCUGCCGCCCUGUCGCGGGGUGAAUCAUUGCUGUGACACUGCAAAUGGGGAAGAAGGGCUGCCAGCGGCCUCGCAGCCUCGCCUUACUUUCUUGUGGAGACCGACCGGUCCAGGGAACGGAGGCCACGGCUGCUGACCCUUGAGAAGUUUCCAUGCCAGCUAGAAGAGCUCAUGCUAGCAGCGCGUCGAUUGAUGACCAACGUCUGAAUCUUCAGCUAUGUUGGGCACACUCGGGCUCUGCACACUCGGGCUCUGGUGGGUUUGGGGAUUUUCCCUGCGGGCACUGAAGACCCAAGAAGCCCGCGUUUGUACCGCUAUCUGCAAAAGAGCCAGAGGAGAAGAUGGUGGAAGGGUCUCUCUCCACUCUUGGCUUUGACGGAGCAAAAUCCCAAAUAAAAGCAUCAGAGGCAGGACUAUGACGGAGAGAAAACCCGCCAGGAAGGUCAGUCAUGAGCCACUGUGAACCUCUCAGAAGAUGCUCUGCUGUUCUGUGAGCUGAGCCGUGAUGCACAAGGAACACAUCUAGGAGUCCGCGCUCCAAAAACAUUUCAAAGUUGUGAAUUUUACAUCGACCCAGGUGACUUCAUAGCUCAGUUUUUUAAAGUUCAUUCUGAAUUUCUACAAAACUACAGAAGUUAAGACAGCAUGGUGCUGGCAAUAGACAGGCAUAUGUAUUGAGGGAACAGAACUGAUAGUGCAAAAAUAAACACUCAUGGUUAAUUUA